RNAcentral lists this ribosomal RNA (492 nucleotides) under uncultured bacterium. Its description in RNAcentral is "partial 16S ribosomal RNA". It matches the Rfam family "Bacterial small subunit ribosomal RNA", at positions 29 to 507 of the family's 1533-position model. The record is from RNAcentral.
AGUGAACGCUGGCGGUAGGCCUAACACAUGCAAGUCGAACGGCAGCACAGUAAGAGCUUGCUCUUACGGGUGGCGAGUGGCGGACGGGUGAGGAAUACAUCGGAAUCUACUUUUUCGUGGGGGAUAACGUAGGGAAACUUACGCUAAUACCGCAUACGACCUACGGGUGAAAGCAGGGGAUCUUCGGACCUUGCGCGAUUGAAUGAGCCGAUGUCGGAUUAGCUAGUUGGCGGGGUAAAGGCCCACCAAGGCGACGAUCCGUAGCUGGUCUGAGAGGAUGAUCAGCCACACUGGAACUGAGACACGGUCCAGACUCCUACGGGAGGCAGCAGUGGGGAAUAUUGGACAAUGGGCGCAAGCCUGAUCCAGCCAUACCGCGUGGGUGAAGAGGGCCUUCGGGUUGUAAAGCCCUUUUGUUGGGAAAGAAAAGCAGCGGGUUAAUACCCCGCUGUUCUGACGGUACCCAAAGAAUAAGCACCGGCUAACUUCGUG